Molecule: ribosomal RNA, 164 nt
Filed under: uncultured bacterium
Lineage: Bacteria
Description: partial 16S rRNA
Rfam family: Bacterial small subunit ribosomal RNA
Source: RNAcentral
UAGGGAAUCUUCCACAAUGGACGCAAGCCUGAUGGAGCAACGCCGCGUGAGUGAAGAAGGUCUUCGGAUCGUAAAACUCUGUUGUUAGAGAAGAACAUGCAGGAGAGUAACUGUUCUUGUAUUGACGGUAUCUAACCAGAAAGCCACGGCUAACUACGUGCUAG